Long non-coding RNA from Arabidopsis thaliana (thale cress), 275 nucleotides. RefSeq annotates it as other RNA. NCBI's taxonomy places the organism in Eukaryota, Viridiplantae, Streptophyta, Magnoliopsida, Brassicales, Brassicaceae. The transcript has a single exon. The record is from RefSeq.
CCUGACUAUUUGUUUCCGUUUGAAGAGAUACUCUGAUUGGUUAAGAGGACACAGACUGUGAGACUGGUUUGCGUUGGGUCCGGUCUUGAUUUUGUUCAAAUUUCUGCUCGACUUAGAUGUUUUUUUUGCUUUCUUAUCGAAACAUUUUUAUAGCUGAUUAUGUGAAGGAGUUAGGAGAAUUGAAUAUGGGUUUAUCGAAAAGGUGAUUAUUGUUCCAAUCAAAUAUAUUUAGGUGACUAUCGGCAUCAUUGAUAAGUAUAGAUAUAGUUUGUGGG